Molecule: ribosomal RNA, 1325 nt
Filed under: metagenome
Description: bacterial LSU rRNA
Rfam family: Bacterial large subunit ribosomal RNA
Source: RNAcentral
AGUGGAUGGGGAGCAACCUAGUUGUGCGUGUGUAAAGGUAGUGCCAAGAAAAGCGGUGAUCAUGAUGAAAAUCAAUUCCCGGUACCCGAAACCGACACAGGUGGGCAAGUAGAGAAUACUAAGGGGCGCGAGGUAACUCUCUCCAAGGAACUCGGCAAAAUGACCCCGUAACUUAGGGAGAAGGGGUGCCACCGAGAGGUGGUCGCAGUGAAGAGGCCCAGGCGACUGUUUAGCAAAAACAUAGGUCUCUGCAAACUCGAAAGAGGAGGUAUAGGGGCUGACGCCUGCCCAGUGCCGGAAGGUUAAAGAAGUUGGUCAGUCUUAGGAUAAAGCUAGCGACUGAAGCCCCGGUGAACGGCGGCCGUAACUAUAACGGUCCUAAGGUAGCGAAAUUCCUUGUCGGGUAAGUUCCGACCCGCACGAAAGGCGUAACGAUCUGGGCGCUGUCUCGGAGAGAGGUUCGGCGAAAUAGGAUUGUCUGUGAAGAUACGGACUACCUGCAUUUGGACAGAAAGACCCUAUGAAGCUUUACUAUAGCUUGGAAUUGUGUUCGGGCUUCCUGUGCGCAGGAUAGGUGGGAGGCGAAGAAGGUAUUCUUGUGGGGAUACUGGAGCCAACGGUGAGAUACCACUCUCAGGAGGCUAGAAUUCUAACUUAAUUAAGGACAGUUUCAGGUGGGUAGUUUGACUGGGGCGGUCGCCUCCAAAAAGGUAACGGAGGCGUACAAAGGUUCCCUCAGACUGGUUGGAAAUCAGUCGCAGAGUGCAAAGGCAGAAGGGAGCUUGACUGCGAGAAGUACAGUUCGAGCAGGGUGGAAACACGGUCUUAGUGAUCCGACGGUGCUGUGUGGAAGGGCCGUCGCUCAACGGAUAAAAGUUACUCUAGGAUAACAGGCUGAUCUCCCCCAAGAGUUCACAUCGACGGGGAGGUUUGGCACCUCGAUGUCGGCUCAUCGCAACCUGGGGCGGAAGUACGUCCCAAGGGUUGGGCUGUUCGCCCAUUAAAGCGGUACGUGAGCUGGGUUCAGAACGUCGUGAGACAGUUCGGUCCAUAUCCGAUGUAGGCGUGAGAAUAUUGAGAGGAGCCUUCCUUAGUACGAGAGGACCGGGAAGGACGCACCGCUGGUGUACCUGUUAUGAUGCCAAUUGUAAACGCAGGGUAGCCAAGUGCGGAGAGGAUAACCGCUGAAAGCAUCUAAGUGGGAAGCCCACCUCAAGAUGAGUAUUCUGGUGUAAGGUCACGGGAAGACGACCCGUAAAUAGGCACGAGGUGGAAGUGCAGAGAUGUAUGAAGCCGAAGUGUACUAAUAGACCGUCGGCUUGAUC